This is a long non-coding RNA of Passer domesticus (house sparrow), 4278 nucleotides long. RefSeq lists it as uncharacterized. The record is from RefSeq and is a predicted model, not a curated record. NCBI's taxonomy places the organism in Eukaryota, Metazoa, Chordata, Aves, Passeriformes, Passeridae. The transcript is spliced from 5 exons.
AGCAGCAUUUAGGUAUGGAGUAUGAAAGCAGAAGCCCAGGGAUGUGAUGCAAGCAGUGAAUCUACGGAUAUGUUUUAAAAAGGAAGAUCACAAGUUCUCCUUCUCAUCCUCCAUGUUUGAAAACAAAAUGAUCUUCUGAAUGCAGAGAGGCCCUCUGUAACUUGGAGUACCAGUCCAGAAAUUAAUAUUAUUUGUGUAGAAAUUGCAGAGUGUCCUGCAAAGGCAAACAAUGCUGCAAAUGAGAGCAAAUAAUUUCAUCCUGGUUUGAGAAGUCCUAAAUUUGUGAAAUAUGUGCAUUUUUUACCUGCCCGUUUGGGAGCAAGGACAGUAGAGAGUGUUUGUGGCACUCAAGGUGGUUCCCGUGGCUGCUCCUUUGUAAAUGCACCCCUGGUUAUGCAUUUGGAAACCUGUUUGCAGGUGGUCAGACGUGGGGCAGCUGACAGUUGAUUUUUCCCAUGACGAUGAUGUGUGUGCUCUUACCCCUUGCCAGCACCAACGUCCUGCCAGCCGAGCCAGGCUUGGAACCUGUCCCUUCCCGAGUGGCGUGGGACACACUGGGCUGUCAGUGUGGCCGGGAGCUGCCGUGGCAUUGGGCCCAGGACCUGGGACUCUGGAUCCAAGGGUGCAAGCAGGAAAGAGAAGAUGGAGAUCACACUGCUGGGGAAGGCUCCUUGUGCAGGUGUCCAGUGCUUGGAAGGUGAAUUUGGGCUGUGUCAUAAAGGCAGCUGCUCCCCGCUGGAUCCCUUCCUGCUUUGUGGCCAAUAAUGUUGAAGGACAGAGGAUGGCUGAAGAAGAGAAGAUGUCUUUCAUGCUUUUGUGACUUGAUUUUGAGUUGUAACCCAUACAUCUAUCUUGGUUUAUGCCCAAAAUUUAGCAUCUAGAGAUGUUACUGGGCAACAAAGUAUUGCUGUUCACUAAAUGCUCUUCAUGUAUUUGUUGCAAGAGGAAGUUGGAUCUCUGCUAAUCCAUUUGAACAAUUCUUUUGACAUUAACCACACUGCGCUUCUUGAUGAAAGGAAGAAUUUCAGGGAACCAGCUGGAAAUCCUCUUUUCUCCUUUGGUCAAUGCCAAAUUCUCAGCUGCACAUCAUGUUCCCGCGUAUGAACUGAAAGAUAAGAAAGAACUUUGAGAAACUGAAUCUCUCUAUUGUGGUACCUGGAGGCCAAUUAUUGCUUCAGGUGGCUAUGUAAUCUAUCAUUUACAGAUUGUUUAUUCCUGUCUUUGGCUGACACUGCUGCUUUUGUGGUGAUUGUCCAAGUUGGAUCAGGCACGAAGCGUCUUGAUUCCUUGAAUCACUCCACAAUUUGUACUAAUGCUUUUCCUGUGGGCCAGUUGCCCAUAGACAGAUAAUGGAUACAUUUGUAAAGUUUUGUUAGUAUGGUGACAAAACCCUUUAAUUGUGGGAAAUAGUACUCAAAGAACAACUUCUUGAAAGAUUUUAAGAAACUCUUCUAUGAAAUGUUUUAAAUUUAUGCAUAGAUCAAAGACUGAAAAUAACAUGAAUAGUUUAAGUAGGCUGAUAAGGAAUACCAGGUAAUAAUGGUACAGUAAAUAAAAUAAUCAAAAAUUAAUCCCUGAAACUGUUUUCAAAAUACCCCACAAAACAUUAAAUCUCUAAACAAAAGAAAAGAACACACUCUUUAUACUUUUCUAUGAAAUUGAAAUCUAGAGAUUUUGAUGGUUAAACAGUGAGAAUCCUUUUAUACUGGGUAACAAAGGUUUGUACUGAAAAUACAAAGAGAAAUAGUUUUUAGGUCAGAGCACAUGCAAUAACCAAACAGGUUUUGAGUCUGUUCCUCAUCUUGGAUCCCAGAACUAAUAGUAUUUCAGCUAUAUCACUCUGCAUCCUGUUUAACAGGACUAUUUUUAAAGCAGUAGAUGGAUUUCAGUAUGAAAACUGAACAAAGCUAAUUGAUGGUUUAUUUUUCUUAAGCUCUGACACAUAUUUUUUAAAGUACAUUUUGUCCAUUUAAUCAGCCAACUGUUACCAUUACAUAUCUUCAGAGAACUUUUGUUUUCAUUCCACUUUUCCAAAAUGCUGUCUAUUUUCUCAUAUUUUUAACAAAAUUGUGUAGGUUAAUGUUAAACUCUUCUGGAAGAAUGGGGAGGUUCUGGUGCUUCAAAGCUUAUCUAUGUGAAGUCAGUGGGUAUUUUAUACAAGAGCAUUCACUGACAACAGGAAUGCUGGUAUUGCAUUUUGCCAGCAGGCAUGUCCUCAGCAGUUUAAAACUGCAAAACAAACCUCAAGCCCACAGUUUUAAGAGAGUCUAAAGUUGUUUAACAAGAAAUUAAAAGGAUGCCAGUGCUUUCUGUUGCUUGAGAAUUUGGAGAAAGCAGAGAGUACUGGCAGCUAGACUGAGCAACACUGGUAAAACCAAACUGCAAAUUUUCAAUACAUGUUGAAUGUUUAUAAGACUUUCUCAAAAGACAGAUGUAUUAUUAGGCCAGCAAAGAACAAAAAAAUCUCUCAGAAGUAAAUAUAUACUUUUUUUCUUUUGUGCAAAGAAAAUGAAGACUGGUUUAUGCAAAUUCAGAAAAUAUUGUGCACAUGUUCAUUUACUACGAUUUUUAUUUUUAAAUAAUAACUUCACAAAUACAUAAUAUGGAAUAUUUUGCCUAAAAGAGCAAGUUGUGGGUCCUAGACCAGUCUAUCAGUUCAAGCUGCAUAUCUUAACUCAUGGGAGAUUUUAUUGUUUUUUCUGUGCUUAAAUCAAAGGGACUCUGUUUAGUGCAAAAAAUAAUGAGGUUUCUUUUGAAAAUUUGUGAACUCUGAAUUAAUAUGAAACCAAUAGAGUUUAGAAAAUAGUUUCUCACUUUCUUGUAUCUCUAAAGGGAGAACAAUUUCCCCUUGCCACCUGGUUUAAUUUGAAUCCAUGCUUUCAACAAACAGAUGACAGAAAAGAUAAACUACAGGAAGAAUUAACAGGUAACUAGAAGAAGAAAAAAAGAGCUGAAGCAAGAAAGGGCAAGAUAAAUUUGUUAAAUAGGAUUUGUGAUUCCUGUUGUAUAAGGUAAAAAUCUUUUUCAACACCUGAUUCAAAACCACGGGUGAAUUUAACAAAGUGCAUGUAUUUUGAGUGAAUUAACUUAUUUUUCUCUGUGUAUUUUCACAGAGAGAAUUUUUCAAUGAUCUAUGCUAAUCUACUGUAAUACUUACUCAGGUUGCCUGCAAAUAUCUGACAUUAAAAAAAUCUUAUAUAUCACCCAGACUUGUAAUGCAGUACUCUAUCUAUCCUAUUACAAAGUUCAUAAAAGAUUUCUCUAUAAAUAGAGAUUAUGAAAAUAAUUUCAGUGUCAACUCAAUAUAGUGUAGGUGGGACAUGCUGCAGUGUAAUCAGAGAUUUACUCAAGCCUGUAUGGGGGAAAUGACUGAGGCUCUGUGUGCAAAGGGGAAUAAAUUAGGAAGACAAAAAUAUUUGAGCAGUAAAAGCAAAACAAAGCAAACCCACGUAACUUAUUGCCAUAGCAGUGUAUUUGAAAUGACUGAUGAAUGAUGAAGGUGUUAUGGCUACUUGUCAGGACUUGUCAAGAUGACAAUGCCCUAGAAGAAUGCGUGGAAGCAAAUCCCUUACUGAGCUCUAGGUCUCAAAUCCUGAGGACAGAAACACUUCAGCUGUGGUAUUGUUGGUUAUGUUACCUGAAAUUUGAAAUCAUGAAUGCCUAAAAGUGCAAAUAUCUAUUUAGAAACAUAUUUGAAAUUAUUUUACAACACCUUGAAAAGUACAAUGAGAGCAAAUGCCAAAGCCAAUUUCACAAGUGAGGGAUCCAGGGGCAAGAGAGUGCUCUCAGGUAUAGGGAGGAGAAGGCACAAAAGGAAAUUCCAUACAUAGGAUAGGGUCACUGACCAGUCCCUGAAUGUAAAAACUGGGGUUUGAGCUAAAAUAUACCAGUUUAAGCAGGCUCUGGGGCUACUUUUUAUCUGAGAGCAUGAACUUUGGGCGGGAGAGGGAAGAGAUUGCAGGAAAUCACAGGCUUCUUUAGGGUGAAGCUUCCCUUAAAUGUGAGCUAAGACGUGAGCUGUGAAGCAGUGACAGAAGAGUGAUAGUUUCACAGUGAUCAUUUCCUGUAAUAAGGAGCAAUUCCAGGCAAUUAUUGCAUGUAUUUAAUUGUUAUAAUGAAAAUAUAAAUUAAGGGCUAUUCAGAAACCAGUUAUUGCAUGGGCAGAAGAUGACAUAUAAAAAACACAAGCACAUUUAAAUAUAGAAAAGUUUUGCAUAGAUAGAAUGUAGAGACUCUUGGACAGUGGAGAGUGAGAGUUAGUAGAAGACAAGGACAGGA